GGGAAUGACGGGGAAGCAGUCGGGGGAAUACGUAUGGGUGAAGAGGGAGACGUGAGUGCUGGGCGUACAUCGUGCGUAUGCGGUUCGGUAAGUCGGGUGGUGAAUCCCCGGGCUCAACCGGGGAAUGGUAGUGUGUACUUGGUAGCUAGAGUGGGAUAGAGGUGAGUGGAAUUCUCGGUGUAGCGGUGAAAUGCGGAGAGAGCGGGAGGAACAGCAGUGGCGAAGGCGGCCAUCAGGAUCAACACUGACGCUGAUGCACUAAAGCGUGGGGAGCAAACAGGAUUAGAUACCCUGGUAGUC
RNAcentral lists this ribosomal RNA (300 nucleotides) under uncultured archaeon. Its description in RNAcentral is "bacterial SSU rRNA". The stretch from base 59 to 300 matches the Rfam family "Bacterial small subunit ribosomal RNA", at positions 554 to 795 of the family's 1533-position model. The record is from RNAcentral.